This 255-nucleotide ribosomal RNA is filed under the name uncultured bacterium. RNAcentral describes it as "partial 16S ribosomal RNA". It matches the Rfam family "Bacterial small subunit ribosomal RNA", at positions 29 to 287 of the family's 1533-position model. The record is from RNAcentral.
AUUGAACGCUGGCGGCAUGCCUUACACAUGCAAGUCGAGCGCGAAAGGGGGCAACCCCGAGUAGAGCGGCGGACGGGUGAGUAACGCAUCGGAACGUGCCCAGUAGUGGGGGACAACCUCGAGAAAUCGAGGCUAAUACCGCAUACGACCCACGGGUGAAAGCGGGGGACCGCAAGGCCUCGCGCUAUUGGAGCGGCCGAUGUCCGAUUAGCUAGUUGGCGGGGUAAGAGCCCACCAAGGCGACGAGUCGGUAGC